AGGUGCUCAACCACUAGAUCAAUUGGAACCAAAGGGAUGACGAUGUUGACCUUUUCUGACCCUCCUGACUCCAAUCAACUAAAGCGUGGACUCUGUUGACCUUUGCACUAAUUCUAUGCUCAAUUCUUCUCAGCUCAGGCUCCUUCAUGAACAUGCAGGAUCUAGAUCUAUUCCAAAUUUGUGGAAUUAAUUAGAUAAUUAAGAGGAACCUCAGAACUACGAGGAAUGAUCAAAGAAGGCAUCUGACACAUCCUACAAAGAAAAGGAGGAUUCCCAAAGAUAUGAAAGAAAAAAAGGCGUGAAGGUUUGUGACCACCGCCAAAAGCUGAUCCCAACAAUAGCAUCCCAGCACACACCGCACCCGCGCGCCUCCCCCACGUGCGCCUUCCAAUCAAGCUUCUCAAAGAGGUUUCAGCUGAAGCCCAUUCCAACAGGCGGCGUUCCAGAGAGCAGGAACCGUCUCCACUCUUCCUCC
Long non-coding RNA from Globicephala melas (long-finned pilot whale), 475 nucleotides. RefSeq lists it as uncharacterized. The record is from RefSeq and is a predicted model, not a curated record. NCBI's taxonomy places the organism in Eukaryota, Metazoa, Chordata, Mammalia, Artiodactyla, Delphinidae.